GUUUUAUUCUUGCUGUUUUGUUCAGUGAUUUCUUGUUUUAUAUGUAAGUUCUUGCGUGAUUACUUCUGCUUGUCUUGAUGAUUUGUAGGUUGGUUUACAAGGUUGCUUUAAGUCGCAUUAUUUAUUUUUAUAUAUCUUGGUUUCUUGGAUUUAGCAAUGAGUUUUUGUACCGGUUAAGUUUGUGCCAGCAACCGCGGUUAUACAUUAGGUGCUAUUGAAUAUUUUUGGUAUAUGUAGUUUUAUUAUUGGUUAGGUUGGGCUUGAAAUUGAUUACCGUUGCUGGGUGGAAUUUUUACUUUGGUUAUAGGCUCUUUAUUUUUUUUGUAAGCUGUGAGAUCUUUUCUAUAAACUAGGAUUAGAUACCCUAUUAUUUUUGAUGUUAAUUUUGUUUUCCUGGGUAGUAUUAGAUAUGAUCUUGAAACCUAAAGAAUUUGGCGGUACCCUAUUCCUUUCAGAGGAGUCUGCCCCGUGAUCGAUGAUCCGCGCUGGACCUUACUUAGAAUUUGUUUGUAUACCGCCGUUGUAAUGAAGAUCUUUUUAGUGUUUUAAUUUUCUGGUUCCGUUAAUUUGGUUGAUUUCAGGUCAAGGUGCAAUUUAUUUUUGAGUGUGAGGUGGACUACAUUGAUUAUUUGAUCUUUGGAUUACUAAUUGUAAUUUUAUUAGUAUGAAAUUGGAUUUGGUUGUAAUUUAUUGUAGAUUGUUUUUAUGAUGCUGGUUCUGGGGUAUGUACACAUCGCCCGUCGCUCUCAUUUUCUAGUUGAGAUAAGUCGUAACAUAGUGGUCGUACCGGAAGGUGUGGCUGGAUUGA
RNAcentral lists this ribosomal RNA (808 nucleotides) under Incisitermes schwarzi. RNAcentral's name for it is "12S ribosomal RNA". The record is from RNAcentral. Lineage: Eukaryota; Metazoa; Arthropoda; Insecta; Blattodea; Kalotermitidae.